Molecule: ribosomal RNA, 420 nt
Filed under: uncultured bacterium
Lineage: Bacteria
Description: bacterial SSU rRNA
Rfam family: Bacterial small subunit ribosomal RNA
Source: RNAcentral
AGUCGAACGAGAAAGUGGAGCAAUCCAUGAGUAAAGUGGCGCACGGGUGAGUAACACGUGACUAACCUACCCUUGAGUGGGGGAUAACCUCGGGAAACCGGGGCUAAUACCGCAUAAAAUCGAGAGAUCAAAGGAGCAAUUCGCUUAAGGAGGGGGUCGCGGCUGAUUAGCUAGUUGGUGAGGUAAUGGCUCACCAAGGCUAUGAUCAGUAUCCGGCCUGAGAGGGCGCACGGACACACUGGAACUGAAACACGGUCCAGACUCCUACGGGAGGCAGCAGUGGGGAAUUUUGCGCAAUGGGGGAAACCCUGACGCAGCAACGCCGCGUGGAGGAUGAAGUCCCUUGGGACGUAAACUCCUUUCGAUCGGGACGAUAAUGACGGUACCGGAAGAAGAAGCCCCGGCUAACUUCGUGCCACA